CCUACGGGAGGCAGCAGUGGGGAAUAUUGGGCAAUGGGCGCAAGCCUGACCCAGCAACGCCGCGUGAAGGAAGAAGGCUUUCGGGUUGUAAACUUCUUUUGACAGGGACGAAGCAAGUGACGGUACCUGCCGAAUAAGCCACGGCUAACUACGUGCCAGCAGCCGCGGUAAUCCGUAGGUGGCAAGCGUUAGCCGGAUUUACUGGGUGUAAAGGGCGUGUAGGCGGGUCUGCAAGUCAGAUGUGAAAACCACGGGCUCAACCUGUGGACUGCAGUUGAAACUGUAGGUCUUGAGUACUGGAGAGGCAGACGGAAUUCCUAGUGUAGCGGUGAAAUGCGUAGAUAUUAGGAGGAACACCAGUGGCGAAGGCGGGCGGCUGGACAGCAACUGACGCUGAGGCGCGAAAGCGUGGGGAGCAAACAGGAUUAGAUACCCGAGUAGUC
RNAcentral lists this ribosomal RNA (443 nucleotides) under uncultured bacterium. Its description in RNAcentral is "partial 16S ribosomal RNA". It matches the Rfam family "Bacterial small subunit ribosomal RNA", at positions 338 to 795 of the family's 1533-position model. The record is from RNAcentral.